Molecule: ribosomal RNA, 497 nt
Filed under: uncultured bacterium
Lineage: Bacteria
Description: partial 16S ribosomal RNA
Rfam family: Bacterial small subunit ribosomal RNA
Source: RNAcentral
GAUGAACGCUGGCGGCGUGCCUAAUACAUGCAAGUCGAGCGAACGGACGAUAAGCUUGCUUCUCUGAUGUUAGCGGCGGACGGGUGAGUAACACGUGGAUAACCUACCUAUAAGACUGGGAUAACUUCGGGAAACCGGAGCUAAUACCGGAUAAUAUUUUGAACCGCAUGGUUCAAAAGUGAAAGACGGUCUUGCUGUCACUUAUAGCUGGAUCCGCGCUGCAUUAGCUAGUUGGUAAGGUAACGGCUUACCAAGGCAACGAUGCAUAGCCGACCUGAGAGGGUGAUCGGCCACACUGGAACUGAGACACGGUCCAGACUCCUACGGGAGGCAGCAGUAGGGAAUCUUCCGCAAUGGGCGAAAGCCUGACGGAGCAACGCCGCGUGAGUGAUGAAGGUCUUCGGAUCGUAAAACUCUGUUAUUAGGGAAGAACAGAUGUGUAAGUAACUGUGCACAUCUUGACGGUACCUAAUCAGAAAGCCACGGCUAACUACGUG